AAAUCGCACACAAACACACAGACACAAGUUUUUGGAUCAUUUUUAUUACAUACAUACAUAUGUACAUAUAUGUAAGGCCUAUAAUAUUUAUAUGUAUUUAUAUAUACUCGAAAUAAAUAUGCAUAAAUUUAUAAUUAAUUUCAUUUUAAUACACACAUUUGUAAAAUCAAUGACUAUAACAACAAAAA
Long non-coding RNA from Bactrocera dorsalis (oriental fruit fly), 188 nucleotides. RefSeq lists it as uncharacterized. The transcript has 2 exons. NCBI's taxonomy places the organism in Eukaryota, Metazoa, Arthropoda, Insecta, Diptera, Tephritidae. The record is from RefSeq and is a predicted model, not a curated record.